RNAcentral lists this ribosomal RNA (116 nucleotides) under Streptococcus pneumoniae. The record is from RNAcentral. Lineage: Bacteria; Bacillati; Bacillota; Bacilli; Lactobacillales; Streptococcaceae.
UUAAGUGACGAUAGCCUAGGAGAUACACCUGUACCCAUGCCGAACACAGAAGUUAAGCCCUAGAACGCCGGAAGUAGUUGGGGGUCGCCCCCUGUGAGAUAGGGAAGUCGCUUAGC